GGCCCCUUAGCUCAGUUGGUCAAGAGCAGGCGACUCAUAAUCGCUUGGUCGCUGGUUCAAAUCCAGCAGGGGCCA
Molecule: transfer RNA, 75 nt
Filed under: Arsenophonus sp.
Lineage: Bacteria; Pseudomonadati; Pseudomonadota; Gammaproteobacteria; Enterobacterales; Morganellaceae
Description: tRNA-Ile
Rfam family: tRNA
About the family: Transfer RNA (tRNA) molecules are approximately 80 nucleotides in length. Their secondary structure includes four short double-helical elements and three loops (D, anti-codon, and T loops).
Source: RNAcentral